Molecule: ribosomal RNA, 923 nt
Filed under: uncultured marine bacterium
Lineage: Bacteria
Description: bacterial SSU rRNA
Rfam family: Bacterial small subunit ribosomal RNA
Source: RNAcentral
AGAGUUGAUCCUGCUCAGAUGAACGCUGCGGCAGGCUAACACAUGCAAGUCGAGCGGAAACGAGUUAACUGAACUUUCGGGGAACGUUAACGGCGUCGAGCGGCGGACGGGUGAGUAAUGCCUGGGAAAUUGCCUGAUGUGGGGGAUAACCAUUGGAAACGAUGGCUAAUACCGCAUAAUAGCUUCGGCUCAAAGAGGGGGACUUUCGGGCCUCUCGCGUCAGGAUAUGCCCAGGUGGGAUUAGCUAGUUGGUGAGGUAAUGGCUCACCAAGGCGACGAUCCCUAGCUGGUCUGAGAGGAUGAUCAGCCACACUGGAACUGAGACACGGUCCAGACUCCUACGGGAGGCAGCAGUGGGGAAUAUUGCACAAUGGGCGCAAGCCUGAUGCAGCCAUGCCGCGUGUAUGAAGAAGGCCUUCGGGUUGUAAAGUACUUUCAGCAGUGAGGAAGGUGGGUAUGUUAAUAGCAUACUCAUUUGACGUUAGCUGCAGAAGAAGCACCGGCUAACUCCGUGCCAGCAGCCGCGGUAAUACGGAGGGUGCGAGCGUUAAUCGGAAUUACUGGGCGUAAAGCGCAUGCAGGUGGUUUGUUAAGUCAGAUGUGAAAGCCCGGGGCUCAACCUCGGAAUUGCAUUUGAAACUGGCAAACUAGAGUACUGUAGAGGGGGGUAGAAUUUCAGGUGUAGCGGUGAAAUGCGUAGAGAUCUGAAGGAAUACCGGUGGCGAAGGCGGCCCCCUGGACAGAUACUGACACUCAGAUGCGAAAGCGUGGGGAGCAAACAGGAUUAGAUACCCUGGUAGUCCACGCCGUAAACGAUGUCUACUUGGAGGUUGUGGCCUUGAGCCGUGGCUUUCGGAGCUAACGCGUUAAGUAGACCGCCUGGGGAGUACGGUCGCAAGAUUAAAACUCAAAGGAAUUGACGG